GCGGCGAACGGGUGAGUAACGCGUGGGUGACCUGCCCGGGAGACCGGGAUAACAGUUCGAAAGGGCUGCUAAUACCGGAUGAUAUCUUUUGGCUGCGGCCAAGGGAUCAAAGCGUUUUAGCGCUCUCGGAUGGGCCCGCGUCCCAUUAGCUAGUUGGUGGGGUAAUGGCCUACCAAGGCGACGAUGGGUAGCCGGUCUGAGAGGAUGGUCGGCCACACUGGGACUGAGACACGGCCCAGACUCCUACGGGAGGCAGCAGUGGGGAAUUUUGCGCAAUGGGGGCAACCCUGACGCAGCGACGCCGCGUGGGUGAAGAAGGCCUUCGGGUUGUAAAGCCCUGUUGGGGGGGACGAUAGUGACGGUACCCCCUGAGGAAGCCCCGGCUAACUACGUGCCAGCAGCCGCGGUAAUACGUAGGGGGCGAGCGUUGUCCGGAAUUACUGGGCGUAAAGGGCGUGUAGGCGGCCUUUCAAGUCGGCUGUGAAAGUCCCCG
This 493-nucleotide ribosomal RNA is filed under the name uncultured bacterium. RNAcentral's name for it is "bacterial SSU rRNA". It matches the Rfam family "Bacterial small subunit ribosomal RNA", at positions 95 to 606 of the family's 1533-position model. The record is from RNAcentral.